Molecule: transfer RNA, 68 nt
Filed under: Maoricolpus roseus
Lineage: Eukaryota; Metazoa; Mollusca; Gastropoda; Turritellidae
Description: tRNA-Ser
Source: RNAcentral
AAAGAAAAAACGUCUGUGAAGCAGGGCUGCUAACUUUGUUUUGGGUGGUUAGGCUCCCCCUUUUUCUU